GCGGAAUCAGGGCUUUUUAGGACCCAGCGCGGCGCCUCCCUCCGGGGGCGAGUGCGGCUGCGCGCGCCGUGUGCCCGUGUCCGGAGAGCGGCGGGCUGGACGCGGACCGCGCGAGCGAGCAAGCAAGCAGGCAGCGGAGCAGCAGUCGGGGUGGAAGCAGCGUCGCGGCGGCGGCCGCGGCUCCGCGCCUCGCCUCCCUGGCCUCACCGGCCUUGCGGCGCCCGGACCAGCCACCCCCGCCUACCGGGCCCGACCUCCGCAGCCCCCUUCGCCUUGGCCGGCAGCGCCACCCGCCUGCCCGAAGCAGGGAGCGGAGCGCGGGGCGCCUAGGAACCGGAGCCAGUGCCCGCCGGCCCCGCAAACCAAACCCAGCCGGGAGAACCCCCGCCCGGCCCAGCGCUGCUCCACCAACGGUCCGGGAGCUGUCCCUUCAGCACCGCCGCGGAAGCCUGCGUCCGAGCUCAGCCCAGCGGAGCCCUAGAUCGAGCCUAAGCGCACCCGGCGCAGCGCUCAGCCGCUGCCCCACGGGGCUGUACCCGUGUGCCCCUACCCAGAGGACCCGCCAUCUCCUCCGGGAGGCGGGGAGAAGGAACAAGGAGGGCGGGCAGGCGGGCGGGCUCGCCCGCCGCCGAGGGGAGCAGGCAGCCAGGCGUGGAGAGAGGAAGGGGGCCGGAGCCCGCCCUGAGCCCCGAGCUGCAGCCCGGCCACGCAGGGAGAAAGCAGCCGGUAUCCAUCUCCCCAGCUCCUAGAGCGUGCUGCGGCGACCACCGCACAGCGGAGCUCGAAUUUCCCCGGCCCCCUCUCUUCCCCUCCCCCUUCUGGGGGUUGGUCUAUCCCUCCGGCCCUAGGAGCUGCUGACCUUCCCCCCCAAAAGCUUUGU
Molecule: long non-coding RNA, 880 nt
Filed under: Marmota monax (woodchuck)
Lineage: Eukaryota; Metazoa; Chordata; Mammalia; Rodentia; Sciuridae
Source: RNAcentral